This is a long non-coding RNA of Anolis carolinensis (green anole), 2616 nucleotides long. RefSeq lists it as uncharacterized. The transcript has 3 exons. NCBI's taxonomy places the organism in Eukaryota, Metazoa, Chordata, Lepidosauria, Squamata, Anolidae. The record is from RefSeq and is a predicted model, not a curated record.
GUUAAAUCAUGUUACAGCUGUGUUUGCUUCUCUCUUCCUAGACUGGAAAGCUGUGAAGAAAAUGUUUAUGUAAAACAUCAUUUCCCAUUGUUUCCCCAAAAUCAAUUAUGUGCAAGUGAAACAGAAGAUAUGAGUGGAGGAAAGACUAAACUAUAAUUCCCACAACUACCGGACUGGCACCUAUCCACAUGAGGAAAAAUUCUUCUCUGAACAUUUUCUGGGUUCUCCAGCAACGAGAGAAAUGUGUUUAAGAAGUCAUUCUGGCCUCCUUUAAAACAAAUGCUCUGGUCCUUCAAAGACAACAAACAGGAGGCAGGAGAAAAGACCAGCCAAAUGAUGUGUGCUUUCUGCUAUGCUUGAGACAUAACUCUUUCUUUCGUGCACACACAUUUGCAAAUCACUUCCAACGAAACUUUCAUCAAAUGUGAUUUGGCAUGCCUUUUGUUACUACCAAUCACUGGCUGUGAACUAUGAAGUCUCAUCAUUCUGGCCAAGUGUUUAGCAUAAAAUAACCUUGGAGAGCAUCUGCCGCUGGACUACCUCAGACUGAAUAUGUGCGGUUAUUUAAAAUAGUCAAAAGCUACACUCAGAAGGUAAUUUUUUGUGCAUGGUAGAAUGAAUGAUGGAGUUCUUUUUGCUCUUGGCUACUCUGGGCCUCUUCUGAAUACAGCAAAGGGCUGCUUCAAAAUGAAAACCACAAACGUGUUUGAAUGUAGCAUUAUGCCUAGUUGCUUUCUGAGUGAAAGGCGGCUUUAAAAAGUUAGGUGUAUCAUUGCCAAAAAGAGCUAAAUAGUAUUGUCAGCAUUUUGAGAAGGGAUCAGUUCUUUCCCCAGCCCUCCCUUAAAAUCUCCAUUCUGGACAGCUGUUAGUGACUUACCAAACUUUUCAUAUGGAUAUGUAUGUUAAUGACAGGCAAUGAACUGGAGAUGAAGAGCCCCAAACACAAACCCAACUCUUCAGUGGACAUCAAAAGCCUUCACAAAGGGAGCAGUAAAAGAGGCAACCAUGGUGGAGCCUUCACUUUUGUACACUGAAUUAGUUCUGCAAGCAAUGAAACUGAUCUUUUCUCCUUGCCAGAAAAGUCUGGUGAUUUUUGUGAGUCUCAUUAGCACACGAGGCAUUUGUGAAGAUAAUUGACUGCCGCUGAUACUGCUGGCUGUCACAACAGUGUCAGCGGCAGUGUAUGUGCUUUUUUAAAUAGUUUGUAUUUCCCCACCCCACCCCACUCUCUCAAUCUCUUGCUCAGUGUCUCUCCCCUUUCUUUUAUCUAUUGGUUCUGCAAACAUAUAGUCUGUAUUCCAAAGAUCUCCAGUUUUAAUGUAUGCAUUGAUGGGAAGGAAAAAAUGUUUUUGUGAAUCUAGUUUUCUGGCCAUGUAGUUUCUCUUCCUAGCACUCAGAUUACAGUUCUCUGAAGACACACAUAUAUGUCUUAGUCAGUUUUGUGUGGGAUAGAUGUCUGAAUGGUGAGUGAGAAGGUGUGAGCAGAAGAGCAAACCUCGACAAUGAAAUAAACAAUGCUAAACAAGAAAGCCAUCUCGGAUAUGAUGAAUUGACUAUUUCCCUCUGACUUUCUCCAUCCAGGACCUGAAUAAAGGUGGAAAGGAGUUUUGAAUGCUUUUAUUUUGGAAUCUAAGGGUUGCAUAACCUAUGGGGAGCUGCAAGAAUGACUGGGAACGGGUAUGUCACAGUUUGUUGGAUCAGCACCAGAUUUCUUUUCACUAUAACAUACAAGACUUGCAACCUGGUUUCAAAGAUAUACACACAACGGGCCUUUGUUCUUUUACAAACUAACUGAAGCUUUUGCUUUCACCAAUACAGUCAUGUUGCACUCAUUAGGUUUUUCACUCUUGUGAGUGUAAAUUGAAUUCAAUUUACACUGAAAGGUUCUGCCUACGUACUUAAGAAUCAGUGUGAGAGAAUAAAUUAUGAUCAACAGCAUCUGGCUGUGCUUUUGUUUGGCAAUUGGAGAGUGUGUGUCAGGAUGCUUCAGCAGUUCCUUAAUACUAUCCGAAAUUUAGGAGCUAACAUACUUAGCUGAUUUUUUUACUUUUUAAUUCUUUCAGCAAAUACAUUUUGGGGAGGGGGGAUCUUUACAAAUUACCAAACUGUUAGCUGCACUCGAGAUAAUCAUAUCCAAACUCUACAGCCAGUUUAGUUCCUUUUAGUUCAAUAAUCAGAAUCAUGGAGUCGUGGUGGUGCAAUGAGUUAAACCCUUGUGUCAGCUGAACUGCUGACCUGAAGGCUGGGUUGCUGACCUGAAGGUUGCCAGGUCACAUCCCCGAGACUGGGUGAGCUCCUGUCUGUCAGCUCUAGCUUGCGAGGAUAUGAGAAAAGCCUCCCAGCUAUCACAUCCCCUGGGCAAUAUCUCUGUAGACAGCCAAUUCUCUCACCCCAGAAACAACUUGCAGUGUGUUCUUAAGUCACCUCUGACAUGAUAAAAAAAAUCAGAAUCAUAUUCAACUCAGUUUAGGCACAUUUAAGAUUAAUUUAUAUAGAACUAUAUGUUUAUAUGUAAUUAAACAAGUAUGAAUGGGAGGAUUUUAUCUGUUAACUAUGAGUCAAGUCCUCAAAUGUAGACCAGCAUUUACCUUUGUUAAAGUUGAGUUUCCCUUUAAG